This 406-nucleotide ribosomal RNA is filed under the name uncultured bacterium. Its description in RNAcentral is "partial 16S ribosomal RNA". It matches the Rfam family "Bacterial small subunit ribosomal RNA", at positions 30 to 526 of the family's 1533-position model. The record is from RNAcentral.
AUUGAACGCUGGCGGCAGGCCUAACACAUGCAAGUCGAACGAGUGGCCGACGGGUGAGUAAUGUCUGGGAAACUGCCCGAUGGCGGGGGAUAACUCCUGGAAACGGUAUCUAAUACCGCAUACCAUCGGAUGUGCCCAGAUGGGAUUAGCUAGUAGGUGGGGUAACGGCUCACCUAGGCGACGAUCCCUAGCUGGUCUGAGAGGAUGACCAGCAACACUGGAACUGAGACACGGUCCAGACUCCUACGGGAGGCAGGAGUGGGGAAUAUUGCAGAAUGGGAGCAAGCCUGAUGCAGCCAUGCCGCGUGUAUGAAGAAGGCCUUCGGGUUGUAAAGUACUUUCAGCGAGGAGGCGUUACUCGCAGAAGAAGCACCGGCUAACUCCGUGCCAGCCGCCGCGGUAAUAC